RNAcentral lists this ribosomal RNA (396 nucleotides) under uncultured bacterium. RNAcentral's name for it is "partial 16S ribosomal RNA". It matches the Rfam family "Bacterial small subunit ribosomal RNA", at positions 523 to 918 of the family's 1533-position model. The record is from RNAcentral.
AUACGUAUGGUGCAAGCGUUAUCCGGAAUCACUGGGUGUAAAGGGAGCGUAGACGGUUACUCAAGCCAGAUGUGAAAGCUAUGGGCUCAACCCAUGAACUGCAUUUGGAACUGAAUAACUAGAGUGCCGGAGGGGUAAGCGGAAUUCCUGGUGUAGCGGUGAAAUGCGUAGAUAUCAGGAGGAACACCGGUGGCGAAGGCGGCUUACUGGACGGCAACUGACGUUGAGGCUCGAAAGCGUGGGGAGCAAACAGGAUUAGAUACCCUGGUAGUCCACGCGGUAAACGAUGAAUACCAGGUGUCGGUGAGCGAAGCUCAUCGGUGCCGCAGCAAACGCAGUAAAUAUUCCACCUGGGGAGUACGUUCGCAAGAAUGAAACUCAAAGGAAUUGACGGGG